RNAcentral lists this long non-coding RNA (870 nucleotides) under Homo sapiens (human). RNAcentral describes it as "HSALNT0339182". The record is from RNAcentral. Lineage: Eukaryota; Metazoa; Chordata; Mammalia; Primates; Hominidae.
GUCGAACCCACGCCCACCCGGAACUCACGCUGGCCCGCGAGCGCCGCGCGCAGCCCUGGUUCCCGCCCGCGGCUCUCUCUCCACACAUCCCCGCAAGCUGAGGGAGCCAGCUCCGGCCUUGGCCAGCCCAGAAAAGGGCUCCCACAGUGCAGGGGCGGGCUGAAGGGCUCCUCAAGUGCCGCCAAAGUGGGAGCCCAGGCAGAGGAGGCGCCGAGAGCGAGCGAGGGCUGUGAGGACUGCCAGCACGCUGUCACCUCUCAGUCAGAGCCCACAGAUAAUAGCAACACACUAAGGUCCUCAAGGUACAUCGUUGGGAUCAAGCAACUUUGAUCCCAAGGAGAAGAAUAAAAACAAGAGGGACGACUGGGCCAAGGUGCCAUGUGAAGUGACCUGUGAGGAUCAACCCAGUGAAGAUGCUUGAGGAAGACAUGCUAGAGCAAAAACUACAACUCUGGUCCUCUUGGAUAUUUUAGAUAAGGACUUUACCCACAUAAAGAAGGUGUUGCCCUGGGGACUGGCUGAGAGAAAUUACAGACUGUUACUCACUUCAAAAGAAACGGACUGCUACAGUGGUACUUACGUCACCAGAAAGAAACACUUCCACAAAGAAUUUGAUUUGAUGGCAUCAUGUGGACAUAGAACUCUCAUAGUAAUGACCCAACCUGUGUUUCCAGUCAUCCUGAUGAACUCUCAACAAAAUCAGAUUGUUAUACUGUUGUUCUCACUUUACACCGAUAUUUUCUCUUGCUCCUAAAAAAAGUAUCUGGUAUUAAAUAGAAUUCUGUAUCUUAAAAAACUUGCCAUUGAGAAAAAUGAGAAGUAACUGUACAUUUUAAUACUGAAGGUUUUAAUAAAAAAAGCAGUGUGAAC